Molecule: ribosomal RNA, 498 nt
Filed under: uncultured bacterium
Lineage: Bacteria
Description: bacterial SSU rRNA
Rfam family: Bacterial small subunit ribosomal RNA
Source: RNAcentral
CAAGGAAUAUUGUGCAAUGGGCGAAAGCCUGACACAGCGACACCGCGUGAGGGACGAAGGCCUUCGGGUCGUAAACCUCUUUUCUCAGGGAGGAGUAAGGACAGUACCUGAGGAAUAAGCCACGGCUAACUACGUGCCAGCAGCUGCGGUAAAACGUAGGUGGCUAGCGUUAUCCGGAUUCAUUGGGCGUAAAGAGGGCGCAGGCGGCCUGGGUAAGUCGAAUGUGAAAUCUCCUGGCUUAACUGGGAGGGGUCAUUCGAUACUAUCAAGCUAGAGUGCAACAGGGGAAGUAGAAUUCCCGGUGUAGUGGUGAAAUGCGUAGAUAUCGGGAGGAAUACCAGUGGCGAAGGCGGCCUUCUGGGUUGUUACUGACGCUUAAGCCCGAAAGCGUGGGGAGCAAACAGGAUCAGAUACCCUGGUAGUCCACGCUGUAAACUAUGUGCGCUGGAUGUUGGCCGACCUAGUCGGUCAGGUGUCGAAGCUAACGCGAUAAGCGCA